Molecule: transfer RNA, 67 nt
Filed under: Fukomys damarensis (Damara mole-rat)
Lineage: Eukaryota; Metazoa; Chordata; Mammalia; Rodentia; Bathyergidae
Rfam family: tRNA
About the family: Transfer RNA (tRNA) molecules are approximately 80 nucleotides in length. Their secondary structure includes four short double-helical elements and three loops (D, anti-codon, and T loops).
Source: Rfam by way of RNAcentral
GUGGUUGUAGCUCAGUAGUAGAGCGCUUGCAUUGCAUGCAGGAGGCCCAUGUUCAAUACCAAGCACA